UGCAUCUCUGAUGAUAAUUUGGCUCCCUCUACUGAAGCCUCUGAGGAAAACUGCCACUCGAACCCAUUUUAUUCUGAGGUGCU
Neoarius graeffei (lesser salmon catfish) is the source of this 83-nucleotide small nucleolar RNA. RefSeq annotates it as small nucleolar RNA SNORD100. The record is from RefSeq and is a predicted model, not a curated record. The transcript has a single exon. NCBI's taxonomy places the organism in Eukaryota, Metazoa, Chordata, Actinopteri, Siluriformes, Ariidae.